This 153-nucleotide non-coding RNA is filed under the name Bifidobacterium saguini. RNAcentral describes it as "FMN sequence". It matches the Rfam family "FMN riboswitch aptamer (RFN element)". Rfam says of the family: The RFN element is a highly conserved domain that is found frequently in the 5'-untranslated regions of prokaryotic mRNAs that encode for flavin mononucleotide (FMN) biosynthesis and transport proteins. This element is a metabolite-dependent riboswitch that directly binds FMN in the absence of proteins. The record is from RNAcentral. Lineage: Bacteria; Bacillati; Actinomycetota; Actinomycetes; Bifidobacteriales; Bifidobacteriaceae.
UGUCAGUUUCAGGGAAGGUGAAAUUCCUUACUGGCGGUAACUGUGCACCCGGGAUUCAUAACGGGAGCGUACAGAAGCCCGCGACCCGCGAAAGCGGCUGAUCCGGUGAGAUUCCGGAGCCAACGGUUACAGUCCGGAUGGAAGAAACGAGGG